RNAcentral lists this ribosomal RNA (269 nucleotides) under uncultured Planctomycetales bacterium. RNAcentral describes it as "partial 16S ribosomal RNA". It matches the Rfam family "Bacterial small subunit ribosomal RNA", at positions 565 to 832 of the family's 1533-position model. Lineage: Bacteria; Pseudomonadati; Planctomycetota; Planctomycetia; Planctomycetales. The record is from RNAcentral.
GAGCACGUAGGUGGGUUUGUAAGUCAGAUGUGAAAGCCUUCUGUUCAAAGGAAGAACGGCAUCUGAAACUGCAGAUCUUGAGUGUAGGAGGGGAGAGUGGAGCUUCUGGUGGAGCGGUGAAAUGCGUAGAUAUCAGAAGGAACGUCGGCGGCGAAAGCGACUCUCUGGCCUAUUACUGACACUGAGUGUGCGAAAGUUGGGGGAGCAAACGGGAUUAGAUACCCCGGUAGUCCUAACUGUAAACGAUGGGCACUAAGUAGAGGGGUUUU